CGUAGGGUGCGAGCGUUAAUCGGAAUUACUGGGCGUAAAGCGUGCGCAGGCGGUUUGUUAAGAUAGGCGUGAAAUCCCCGGGCUCAACCUGGGAACUGCGCUUAUGACUGGCAAGCUAGAGUACGGCAGAGGGGGGUGGAAUUCCACGUGUAGCAGUGAAAUGCGUAGAGAUGUGGAGGAACACCAAUGGCGAAGGCAGCCCCCUGGGUCGAUACUGACGCUCAUGCACGAAAGCGUGGGUAGCAAACAGGAUUAGAUACCCUGGUAGUCCACGCCCUAAACGAUGUCAACUAGGUGUUGGGAGGGUAAAACCUUUUAGUACCGGGGCUAACGCAUGAAGUUGACCGCCUGGGGAGUACGGCCGCAAGGUUA
Molecule: ribosomal RNA, 372 nt
Filed under: uncultured organism
Description: bacterial SSU rRNA
Rfam family: Bacterial small subunit ribosomal RNA
Source: RNAcentral